UAAAACUUGUCUUCUUUUCAAGUCAACUGAAGGCUUUUGAAGUCUCCGCAUGGAGGAUAGAUCGCUCAUGGAGAUGGAGGGGUUCACUCUCGCCCUUAAUUAUACGUCGACGCUUCAACCGCUCUCGAAUCGGAAACAGAGGUUCGCCGAUCACAUUCAAGCUUCGCUCUCGGAUCGGAGUUUGGUGGAGUUAGAGAAGCUGCUUUCCCCAGUUUUCUCAAAAGGGUCAGAUGUAGAGUAAUGAAGCAAUCUUGAAAAGGGCAAAUGUAUGCCCACAGAUGAAUGUAUGCAAAUUCAAAAGGGCCACGCUAAUUCUCCUU
Molecule: non-coding RNA, 320 nt
Organism: Corylus avellana
Lineage: Eukaryota; Viridiplantae; Streptophyta; Magnoliopsida; Fagales; Betulaceae
Source: RefSeq, a predicted model, not a curated record